AGAGUCAAUCGGAUAAUUGCUCUUAGUCUCGCUUUAAGCGCUACAAAGAGAGGAAAGUCCGAGCACUGCAGGACGGGAUGCCACAUAAUUAGUGGAAUUAGUUAUACUAAUAUGGAAAGUGCAACAGAAAAUAUACCGCUUCAAUUUAUUGGAGUAAGGGUGAAAUGGCGGUGUAAGAGACCACCAGGCCUUGAUGAGAAUCAAGGUGCUUGUAAACCCCAUCCAGUGCAAGAUCAAGUAAACUCUAAGAUGUUGUCCGCAUUGUUUGAAGAGAGGGUUGAUUGCAUGAUUUAUCUAGCAAUAGUUAAACAAGAUGAAUGAUUAUCGAUUACAGAACUCGGCUUAUAGAUUGACUCUAUUA
RNAcentral lists this RNase P RNA (361 nucleotides) under Fidelibacterota bacterium. Its description in RNAcentral is "RNase P RNA component class A". It matches the Rfam family "Bacterial RNase P class A". Rfam says of the family: Ribonuclease P (RNase P) is a ubiquitous endoribonuclease, found in archaea, bacteria and eukarya as well as chloroplasts and mitochondria. Its best characterised activity is the generation of mature 5'-ends of tRNAs by cleaving the 5'-leader elements of precursor-tRNAs. Lineage: Bacteria; Pseudomonadati; Fidelibacterota. The record is from RNAcentral.